CCUCACCUCCCAGCCCCUCCAGCUCCCCCUGAUACACCAGCCCUGCGCGCGGCUGCUCCCGAGCUUUGGGACCCUCAGCCCAAGCGCCGGCUCACCAUCACCGCGCACCUCCUUGCCUCUCCUCCGUGCCCUGCUGCUGCCACUUGCCCAGCUCGCUGUCACGGGAAGCCUCCUGCGCCGAGCCCCGUGCAGCCGGGUCCCUCUGGGGAAGGAGGUGGCGCGUGUCCUGCCAGGUCGGGAGGAGCGCUGCUCUGACCCGCGGUGCCAGCGGAGCGCCCGUGCCGGGAGAGGGAGGGAGGGGACAGCCCGUGCUGCCACAGCCACCCGUGGCACUGCCAGGCUGAGCACUCGUGAGCCAGACAGGCACAGCUCCGGGCACUGCGUUCCCAGGACACUCGCUUUUUGUUUUUCUGGGAGCGAUUCCUGCUCGUCAGCCACCACGUGCCCGGCGUGUGUGCAAGGGGACAGCGCUGGGCACGAGGGUGGUGGCCUGCACCACCCUGAAGAGUGGCGGGAGGGGAAAUGCUGCUCUGUGCCCUGCUGGCUUCAUGCUCUCAUGCACCCAUGGGUGUUCAAUCCACCACUCGAGGCCACAUCCAGCUCGGGCAGCUACACCUGUCAGAGCCCCCUUCCUUGCAAUCCCAGAGCAGGACACCCUCUUUCCCUUGGCUGGGGGGAGACUGGAAGCCAUCGCCUCCCAGGGAUGCUCUCUCAGCACCCGUGCCCACCUCAGCACCCUGGGAAGGCGCAAUCCGUCCCCGGCCUGCCGGGAGGGUGCCGCUGGGUGCUGCGGGGAGGAUGCGCGCCCGGCUCCCCGCUGACGUAAGUGCUGGGAGUCAGCCGGGAGCUGCCAGCGGGGAAUUGGCCCGCAGCACUGGGAGCACUUGGGGAGCCGUGCAGAGAGGAGGUAAUUGUUAAAUGUGGGCUGAGAUAGGCUGAGCGGGGAGGGCAGGAGGCCAGGGAGGUGGCAGACACCUCACCAGGGCUGGCUUGGUUUACACAAGCUGGGCUUUGUUCAUUAUCUCCUCGGGCUUUCGUGGCUGUGAGUUAACACCCCGUG
Molecule: long non-coding RNA, 1060 nt
Filed under: Anser brachyrhynchus (Pink-footed goose)
Lineage: Eukaryota; Metazoa; Chordata; Aves; Anseriformes; Anatidae
Description: lncRNA (ENSABRG00000022305.1)
Source: RNAcentral